Molecule: non-coding RNA, 712 nt
Filed under: Paragyrodactylus variegatus
Lineage: Eukaryota; Metazoa; Platyhelminthes; Monogenea; Gyrodactylidea; Gyrodactylidae
Source: RNAcentral
AAUUGGUUUAAUUUCAGCCAUAAAAAUAAAAGUAGGAACUUCCACAUAUAAACUUUAUUUAUUAAUUUUUAUGAAUUUACAUCUUAUAUUUAUUUAGUGGUUAAAAUUUUUAAUUUUACUUAGUAAAUCAAAGUUCUUUUUUAAAUCUAGGAUAAGUCACAGUGCCAGCAUCCGCGGUUAUUCUGUUUAGCAUUAUUUUAACAUAAUUAUAGUUUUUAUAUUAUUUUCUUUUAUUCGGUAAAAUGUAUCAAAAAGUUUAAAUUUUAUAUAAAUUUAUAAAUGUAAUGAGUCAAUAUAACAAGAAGAUUAGAUACCUUUGUAUUACUUAUAUAAUAAAUUUUAGUCAAACUAAAGAAAUUUGGCAGUCUUUUAACCUUAACUGGGGGUCGUGUGUAUUAAAGGAUGAUCCACCUAAUAAAUUACCAUAAAUUAAUGUUGGUGUACGUCUGAUUUUUUAUCAAUAUAAUAAAAUAUUGGUUUAAUUAAUAAUUAAUUUAAGUUAAGUCUAUGUGCCACUAUUUUAUGGUUUACAUUCUACACUUUAAAAAUAAUUAGGUUGUAAUAACUUAUAUAUUAAGGACUAGUGAGUAUAAUAUUAUAAAUUUUGAUUAUUAGAAAUAAGUUUAAGAGAGGUACAUACCGCCCGUCAAUUUCGGUAUAUGCUGAGAUAAGUCGUAACAUGGUAGCCCUUUGGGAACUAGGGGCUUGUAAA